RNAcentral lists this ribosomal RNA (372 nucleotides) under uncultured bacterium. RNAcentral's name for it is "bacterial SSU rRNA". It matches the Rfam family "Bacterial small subunit ribosomal RNA", at positions 525 to 896 of the family's 1533-position model. The record is from RNAcentral.
ACGUAGGGUGCGAGCGUUAAUCGGAAUUACUGGGCGUAAAGCGUGCGCAGGCGGUUUUGUAAGCCAGAUGUGAAAUCCCCGGGCUCAACCUGGGAAUGGCAUUUGGGACUGCAAGGCUGGAGUGUGGCAGAGGGGACUAGAAUUCCUGGUGUAGCAGUGAAAUGCGUAGAUAUCAGGAGGAAUACCGAUGGCGAAGGCAGGUCCCUGGGCUAACACUGACGCUCAUGCACGAAAGCGUGGGGAGCAAACAGGAUUAGAUACCCUGGUAGUCCACGCCCUAAACGAUGUCGACUGGUUGUUGGGGGUUUGACACUCUCAGUAACGAAGCUAACGCGUGAAGUCGACCGCCUGGGGAGUACGGCCGCAAGGUUA